Molecule: ribosomal RNA, 253 nt
Filed under: uncultured bacterium
Lineage: Bacteria
Description: partial 16S ribosomal RNA
Rfam family: Bacterial small subunit ribosomal RNA
Source: RNAcentral
GACGUAGGAUGCGAGCGUUAUUCGGAUUUAUUGGGCGUAAAGCGUGCGUAGGCGGCUGUUUAAGUCUGGUGUUAAAGCUAGGGGCUCAACCCCUGUGGUGCAUCGGAUACUGGGCAGCUUGAGUGCGGUAGGGGAAGGUGGAAUUCCGAGUGUAGCGGUGAAAUGCGCAGAUAUCAGGAAGAACACCCGUGGCGAAGGCGGCUCUCUGGGACGGUACUGACGCUGAGACGCGAAAGCGUGGGGAGCGAACAGG